Molecule: ribosomal RNA, 497 nt
Filed under: uncultured bacterium
Lineage: Bacteria
Description: partial 16S ribosomal RNA
Rfam family: Bacterial small subunit ribosomal RNA
Source: RNAcentral
GAUGAACGCUGGCGGCGUGCCUAAUACAUGCAAGUCGAGCGAACGGACGAGAAGCUUGCUUUUCUGAUGUUAGCGGCGGACGGGUGAGUAACACGUGGAUAACCUACCUAUAAGACUGGGAUAACUUCGGGAAACCGGAGCUAAUACCGGAUAAUAUUUUGAACCGCAUGGUUCAAAAGUGAAAGACGGUCUUGCUGUCACUUAUAGAUGGAUCCGCGCGGCAUUAGCUAGUUGGUAAGGUAACGGCUUACCAAGGCAACGAUGCAUAGCCGACCUGAGAGGGGGAUCGGCGACACUGGAACUGGGACACGGUCCAGACUCCGACGGGAGGCCGCAGUAGGGAAUCUUGCGCAAUGGGCGGAAGCCUGACGGAGGAACGCCGGGUGGGUGAAGAAGGUCUUCGGAUCGUAAAACUCUGUUAUUGGGGAAGAACAUAUGUGUAAGUAACUGUGCACAUCUUGACGGUACCUAAACAGAAAGCCCCGGCUAACUACGUG